CUGCACCUGUGGCAUAUGGAAGUUCCCAUGAUAGGGGUGAAAUCGGAGUUACAGCUGCCAGCCACAGGCACAGCCACAGCCUCACAGGAUCCGAGCCGUGUCUGAGAACUACACCACAGUUCAUGGCAAUACCAGAUCACUGACCCACUGCACUAGGCCAGGGAUCGAACCUGCAUUCUCAUGGAUACUAGUUGGGUUCAUUUACGCUGCACCAUGACGGGAAUGCCAACAAAUAUUUAUUUUUAUUUGCCAAGACUCUUCCUUAUUGCCUAUCAUGAGCCAGGCCAGUUCUGCCCCAGAGCCCACCUGGGGCUCCACCACAGGUGACUGCUGGGCCAAAGAACACAAGGAGUGGGACAAAAUUACAGGGACAUGGAUAAAGAAAUGCUGACUUCUUCAAUGUCCCUCUGACAAAAACAUGUUUGGGCUUCUUACCAACCACCAUGUUUAUGUUCCUAUAGGGCAUGCUGAGGUAGGUCCAAAUUAAGGAUAGUCUUUAAGUGAUACCAUAUUUAAUAAAUGGAGGCUUUAAAAAUGUAUCAUUUUAUUUUUAAAGCUUCAAUUAUUAAAAAAUUCAACAAAUAUGUAUUUGAUGACUACAGUGUCCCAAACAUUGUGUGAGGUACUAGAAAGCCCAAAAUGAAUAAGAACACAGCAAUGAUAACCCCACUUCCCCCCAACAGACAGCAAUUACUGGCUUCUACCAUGUGUUGGGCCUUCUAGGUACACACCCAAAAGUACACCUACUAAGUGAUGGUUCUAGGCUAGCAACAUUUGCAUGGCACAUUGAAACCAUACACACAAUACAGGAGGCAGGGAGAAACCCCCUUAGGAAGCGAUAGACAUUUUAGAGACAGGAGCUAGGAAAGGCUAUCCCAGUGGGGACCUAAGUGCAAAGACUAGUCACAUGAAACCAUAAAAGAGCAUAGUCCAUAGUUCAAUACGCUUGAAAUUCAGAGUUCAAGGAAGGGGAGUUGGGGCUUAAAAGGAAGCCAAGAUAUUCUAAGAAGCUUAGAUUUAUCUUGAAGGCAUAAGUUACCAAUGAGGGAUUUUAAAGGAGGAGGAGGAAGGCUUUAUUAUAAUCAGAUUUGCAUUUCCAAAUGAGUGCUCCAUCCACCAUAGUGUGGAGUGAUCAGAAGCAGAAGAAAUUGGAAGUAGGCAUUCUAAGAGGGAGGGAGUUGUAUGCCAACAGCUGAAACGUGGCAUGUAACAUUGGUUGCAGAUUUUGGUGGCAGCGAUGGGAUGGAAUGCAACCGAGCAGGGCCCAGUGGGGCUCCGUGGCACAAAAGCCUUUCUGCAUUCCCCACUUCUUGUUUUUAGGAAAUGGACCUCCUUCAACCUACAUAGCCUUCCCUGAGAUCCAAGGGACAGGCUCAGACAGUUGAUGAUCUGCGAAAGAAGGGGAUGCAAAGACAAGGGAGGAACAGUCAAGAAACAAUAGUACAGCCCUGGGGCAGGAUCCUGGUUCCCUCCCAGGGGGUACACAUAAGGAUGUAGGCAGAUUACACACCUAAGAGAAAACUUACAUUCCUUAUGCUUCUUUUAGAAAUGAAUACAUUAAAAUUGAAGAGCUUAGAGUCCUUCCUUGUCCUUCUCCCUGGCUUAAUUAUACCUGAAACACCUGUAAGCUCAAGAUUAGGCACCCUGAGCACAAUUGACUCUGUGUUAAGGAUUAUUAGCACAUGAUGUUUUUAGGAACCUUCCUAGAUGUUUUAAUCUCUGAUCAAUAUGCCCUUAUUGCAAGUACUGUGAUUCUAGGAAAUAACCCAGAAAACAACCAUCAUGAUCAUGCUGAGAUUUCCUGACCCCAGCUUUAACGACUAAGAUUCCCCCAAAGAAAGAAGAAUUCAUGUUUAUCCCAAUCCUGAUUGCUACCUGAAAACCUGUUUUUCUCCUUCUUACUAUAAAACUCCUCGCAGUUCUUCCCAAUGGGGGGCACAAUCUUUAAGGCCUUAGCCUGCUGUGGCCUCCUUUGCCUGACAAAGCAAUGUAAGCUAUCUUUUUCUCCUUCACCCCAAACUCUGUCUCCUUGUUUUUAUUCAGCACCGGUGGACAGAAGCCAAGUUUCAGCCACAGUGUUAUCCAUCAAACCCAAUACAAAGGAGUGUAUAAUGGAAAUGUGUACAGAUCAAAUGUCCCAACAACAUAUCCUAGAAAUAAUGGACCACUCUAGCAUUCAUAGCCACUCUGUUGCUGUUUCCCAACCGUUAACACGUCAGCAGUAAGAAGGCAAGAGAGAGACCCCAAAGUCUCUGUCCUUUGUGGAUAGAUCUGGUUAGCAACAUUUUCCUCAUCUACAUAUCAAUUUCUUUACAGCAUGAAAGGGUUUCACAGAGACAGUGUAAACUGGGGUCCAGGCAUUUAAUUCAGCAUUAGAAAGUGGAUUCCCUAAGGUGAUAUGAAAACAAUCUAGAUUAUAUAUCUCUUCGAUUGACAGUAGAAUUUCAAGGUCAAAAAAGAAAGUUAAAGUGGACAGGAAAUACACUACAGCCCAAUUUAAACUCCUCAAUUUAUGGGUCAUAUAUUUAUUUGGCUCUUCUGUUCUCAUUGCUUGGAAUGCCCUUGUAAAUGAAGUCAUUUGGGAGCUCCCUGGUGGCCUAGUGGGUUAAGGAACUUGCAUCACUGCUGUGGCUCAGGACACGGCUCUGGCAUGUGUUUGAUCCCAGAUCCAAGAACUUCCACAUGCCUGGGUAUGGCCAAAAAAUAAAAUAAAAUAAGCCACCUGAUAAAAUCCUACUUGUCCAUGACAUCCUCAAAGACCCUCCCAUUCUGAAUCCUUUUGACAUGUACUAAGUCAAUUCCAGCCUCAAUUGUCAUUUGUAUAAUUAGGGAGAAGGGCAAUAUUGACAUGUUGACUUAUGAGGCUUAGUGAUCAUAUACAUAAAGCAAUGAGCACAGAACCCAGCACAUAGCACUCAAAGUUAGGCUAUGAUUAUUAAUAACAAAUAAUACUAAUCUAAAUAAAUCCAUAAGGCUGGUAUUAUUAUUCCCCAUAACAUAAAUUGGUAUAUGCACCCUGAGGUAUAUGGAAUGCUUGGCCAAUGGAAACCUGCUGUAUAGCACAGAGAACUCUACCCAGUAUUCUGUGAUAAUCUGUGUGGGAAAAGAAUCUGAAAGAGAAUGGAUGUG
This 3129-nucleotide long non-coding RNA is filed under the name Sus scrofa (pig). RNAcentral's name for it is "lncRNA (ENSSSCG00055010668.1)". Lineage: Eukaryota; Metazoa; Chordata; Mammalia; Artiodactyla; Suidae. The record is from RNAcentral.